GUUUGGGUAGCUCAGUGGUAGAGCGAUGGACUGAAAAUCCAUAGGUCGUUAGUUCAAAUCUAACCCCAGACA
This 72-nucleotide transfer RNA is filed under the name Candidatus Riesia sp. Its description in RNAcentral is "tRNA-Phe". It matches the Rfam family "tRNA". Rfam says of the family: Transfer RNA (tRNA) molecules are approximately 80 nucleotides in length. Their secondary structure includes four short double-helical elements and three loops (D, anti-codon, and T loops). The record is from RNAcentral. Lineage: Bacteria; Pseudomonadati; Pseudomonadota; Gammaproteobacteria; Enterobacterales; Enterobacteriaceae.